Molecule: ribosomal RNA, 468 nt
Filed under: uncultured bacterium
Lineage: Bacteria
Description: partial 16S ribosomal RNA
Rfam family: Bacterial small subunit ribosomal RNA
Source: RNAcentral
GACGAACGCUGGCGGCGUGCUUAACACAUGCAAGUCGAACGGAAAGGCCCUGCUUUUGUGGGGUGCUCGAGUGGCGAACGGGUGAGUAACACGUGAGUAACCUGCCCUUGACUUUGGGAUAACUUCAGGAAACUGGGGCUAAUACCGGAUAGGAGCUCCUGCUGCAUGGUGGGGGUUGGAAAGUUUCGGCGGUUGGGGAUGGACUCGCGGCUUAUCAGCUUGUUGGUGGGGUAGUGGCUUACCAAGGCUUUGACGGGUAGCCGGCCUGAGAGGGUGAACGGCCACAUGGGGACUGAGAUACGGACCAGACUCCUACGGGAGGCAGCAGGGGGGAAUAUUGCACAAUGGGCGGAAGCCUGAUGCAGCAACGCCGCGUGCGGGAUGACGGCCUUCGGGUUGUAAACCGCUUUCGCCUGUGACGAAGCGUGAGUGACGGUAAUGGGUAAAGAAGCACCGGCUAACUACGUG